UCAUCUCCGGGGGUAGAGCACUGUUUCGGCAAGGGGGUCAUCCCGACUUACCAACCCGAUGCAAACUGCGAAUACCGGAGAAUGUUAUCACGGGAGACACACGGCGGGUGCUAACGUCCGUCGUGAAGAGGGAAACAACCCAGACCGCCAGCUAAGGUCCCAAAGUCAUGGUUAAGUGGGAAACGAUGUGGGAAGGCCCAGACAGCCAGGAUGUUGGCUUAGAAGCAGCCAUCAUUUAAAGAAAGCGUAAUAGCUCACUGGUCGAGUCGGCCUGCGCGGAAGAUGUAACGGGGCUAAACCAUGCACCGAAGCUGCGGCAGCGACGCUUAUGCGUUGUUGGGUAGGGGAGCGUUCUGUAAGCCUGCGAAGGUGUACUGUGAGGUAUGCUGGAGGUAUCAGAAGUGCGAAUGCUGACAUAAGUAACGAUAAAGCGGGUGAAAAGCCCGCUCGCCGGAAGACCAAGGGUUCCUGUCCAACGUUAAUCGGGGCAGGGUGAGUCGACCCCUAAGGCGAGGCCGAAAGGCGUAGUCGAUGGGAAACAGGUUAAUAUUCCUGUACUUGGUGUUACUGCGAAGGGGGGACGGAGAAGGCUAUGUUGGCCGGGCGACGGUUGUC
Molecule: ribosomal RNA, 615 nt
Filed under: Escherichia coli
Lineage: Bacteria; Pseudomonadati; Pseudomonadota; Gammaproteobacteria; Enterobacterales; Enterobacteriaceae
Description: partial 23S ribosomal RNA
Rfam family: Bacterial large subunit ribosomal RNA
Source: RNAcentral